GAUGAACGCUGGCGGCGUGCCUAAUACAUGCAAGUCGAGCGAACAGAUGAGGAGCUUGCUCCUCUGACGUUAGCGGCGGACGGGUGAGUAACACGUGGAUAACCUACCUAUAAGACUGGGAUAACUUCGGGAAACCGGAGCUAAUACCGGAUAAUAUAUUGUACCGCAUGGUUCAAUAGAGAAAGACGGUUUUGCUGUCACUUAUAGAUGGAUCCGCGCCGCAUUAGCUAGUUGGUAAGGUAACGGCUUACCAAGGCAACGAUGCGUAGCCGACCUGAGAGGGUGAUCGGCCACACUGGAACUGAGACACGGUCCAGACUCCUACGGGAGGCAGCAGUAGGGAAUCUUCCGCAAAGGGCGAAAGCCUGUCGGAGCAACGCCGCGUGAGUGAUGAAGGUCUUCGGAUCGUAAAACUCUGUUAUUAGGGAAGAACAAAUGUGUAAGUAACUAUGCACGUCUUGACGGUACCUAAUCAGAAAGCCACGGCUAACUACGUG
This 497-nucleotide ribosomal RNA is filed under the name uncultured bacterium. RNAcentral's name for it is "partial 16S ribosomal RNA". It matches the Rfam family "Bacterial small subunit ribosomal RNA", at positions 28 to 507 of the family's 1533-position model. The record is from RNAcentral.